Long non-coding RNA from Camelus dromedarius (Arabian camel), 2997 nucleotides. RefSeq lists it as uncharacterized. NCBI's taxonomy places the organism in Eukaryota, Metazoa, Chordata, Mammalia, Artiodactyla, Camelidae. The record is from RefSeq and is a predicted model, not a curated record. The transcript is spliced from 6 exons.
CCCAGUGUGCUAACCCGCACGUGCGGAUUUGGUUCCGUUCCGGUCAGACCAGGGAAGAUGAGGGACCAGCGAAGAGUUGGGGACGGGAUAGGGGAGGCCAGUCCGGGCGAGCGGCGCCUGGUCCGGUGAGGAGAGCGGGUCCCGGGCAGCACCCCCAGUACGGCGUAGGAGGCGACAAGCCGAAAAGGCGCGCUCCUGAUGGAGGGCUGGGCCCGGGGGACGCAAAAGCCGCCAAGCGUGGCCUGCGGCCGGGUCGGGGCGUGCUGGGCAGGAGGCCGGCAGACGGGGAAGGAGGCUGCCGCGGCGCUGGAGGCCGGGCCCGGGGCGGUGGCCGGGGACUGAGGGCACGGCGCGUGGGAGCCGCCCACGACGGGGGAUAGGCUGGGUCCUCCACGGCGUAUCCGGAGGACGGUGUGGGACGCCAAGGAGGCUGUGCGCUUCUACUGAUUCCACUUUGCCCACUGACUGCGGUCAGUGACAGCGCUCCCAGAGAACCCUGGCUCACUGGCCUUCAACUUACUCUGCUGCCCAGACAUCCGCUUGGGUACCCACAGACUCACAGGAUGCCCCCCAGGCCGGACUCGUCACCGCCCCGCAGAACGGGUCAACUUUUCCUGUUCUUAUUGAUAGCACCCCAUCCACCCAGUGUGAAGUCCCUAAUGCCCAGAGAGGAAUCUGCAGCAUGACAGCAGAGCGCACCUUCCGCGUGAAUGGCCCUUGUUUACAGCAUCAGCUGUCUGAACCUUACUUUUACUUCUCAAUCAAGAUUUCUCCACUUUUAUACGGCUUCUCUGCGGUGGCCUGUCCUCUCCGAUAUGGUAUGUUGUACUUCAACUAAGAGGUUCCUACGAUCGUUACAUUCACUAGGUUUCUCCAUCACGUGACCUAAUGGGGUUAUCACUGGAGGGUUAACCACCGUGAAGGGUCCCAGGAAAGCUCUCCUCACGUAUGAGUUCUCUGAUGCCGCGUGAGGUUCGUACUCCGACUGAAGGCCUUCCCACAUUCGUUACACUGAUAGGGCUUCUCUCCUGUGUGAGUCCUCUGGUGCACUGUCAGGGAUGAAUUCUUAAUGAAGGCUUUCCCACACUGGUCACAUUCAUAGGGCUUCUCACCGGUAUGAAUUCUCUGAUGCUCAAUAAGAUAAGCACUCUGGCUGAAGGCCUUCCCGCAUUCGCUGCACUCGUACGGCUUCUCCCCAGUGUGAAUAACCUGGUGCACGGUCAGCGACGAUCGCCCAGUGAAAUGUUUUCCACACACCGGACACUCAUAAGGUUUCUCUCCAGUAUGAAUUCUGCGGUGUUGAGUAAGAGAUGAGUUCUUACCGAAAGCCUUUCCGCACUGAUUGCAUUCAAAAGGCUUUACUCCCGAAUGAAGUCUCUGAUGCUCUAUGAGACAAAACAGCCCAGAGACAAUGAGAGGCAGAGGGCAGGAAGCUACAAAUGGAGAGUCAGCUGGCCAGCUUGAUCAGGAUUACCAGACCAGAGAUCCACACUGAACCAACAGACCAAAGGCCUCUGGGCAGGAGGCUUUACUGCGAAGCAAACGCCUAAGCCCUAAGGAGACAAUAUUAAGAGCUGGGGUCUUCGGUCAUUAAGUCAUGAGGGUAAAGCCUCUCGUGAUGGGAUCAGCGCCCUUGUAAGAAGCGGCACACCAGAGAGCUUGCUGUCUGCUGUGAACCAGGAGGGCCCUCACCCGAAACCCAACCGUGCUCGCACCCCGGCCUCAGACUUCCAGCCUCCAGAAAACGUUUUUCUCCUUGAAAGAGAGAACACCAAGCGACCCACCCUAAAGCAACGCCCUGUAGUAUCAGGAUUUCAAGCCCAAAUUCACGAAUUUCACAGGCUGUACAAGACGUCAACGGCGGGGAGGUGGCAGCAGGCAGGUCCGAGUAACAAGGAGACGUCCUUCCCCAGCGAAGCCAGGUGCCUGGAGCUCUCCAGCAUCGCUCCCCUGAGCAGUGUCUAGCUGGAUCCACUCCUCCCGGAUGAAAUCCACAGACUUAUCCUCGAACAUCCCCGACUCCUGAAGCUAUAAAUUCCCGCUCAAGGGAAGGGUUGCGCCAAUGACACCCUCCGAAGGGAGUGGAAAAAACAAGCAGCAUUAGAAGGGACGGGAUAGAGAGAGCUAUGUGAGGAGAACGUGUCAUCCUCCCAAAGGAACCAAACACCUGCAAGAAAAACGGACAUUACCAUGAAAUAUCCAGAGGUAAAUAUAGAAAGUGCUUUGGCAUUUAGGGACGGAAGAGGAGGUCCAGGGGGCCGUGGGGGAAGCUACCGAAGGCUGCUCUAGGUUAGCACCGAGGAAGAGGAGGUGGCGUUCGGAUCGCCUCCUGUUCACCCACGGAUGACGGACGGAGGGGUCCCCAACCCUAAAGAGCACAAGAUGACCGAACACGUGACACCCAGCACUGGACAGAUGAGACUGUGAGCAGUUUAUCAGUCACAGAUCCUCACCCGCAUGGCGGAGGACACUCGGGGGUUGCACUUGGGAGCAGAGAACUAGCAGGGGCCGUGGGAGGCAGGCUCUGUACUGACAAGGGGGUGAGGUGACCCUUGGUAACCACGGGAAGAUGGGAUCGGCUUGUUUGAACAAUUCUGUGGGCUGGUAGGGAGAUGAAACCCACUAGGCUGAGGACUGGGAGGGGUGUACCUGGCUGGGCUGAUAGGGGAGCUGGCCAGGCAGGUGGGGGGAGCCCUUCCCACUGGGUGGGGGUGUGUCUGGCGAGAGCAGGGGACCUCACAGCUAGGUCUUUGGAGUAACGUGAGGCUCCAAGUUGUAGACGCAGCACAUGGAAUUUUAGGCUUUACUAUAAUUGGGCAGGAAUUCCAGUUAGUGGGGGGGAAGCAUGUGCAAGCGGGAUAAAUCCAGAAAGUGGCUGGCCUACGAGACAACCAAGAAAACACCCAGCUUGACUUAAAAAUGGCAUUUCCAAUUUAUAAGCCCAUUUCAGCCUUGUUUUGUAGCCCCCAGACUAGGAAAUAAAACUGUAAGCAUUCA